Molecule: long non-coding RNA, 130 nt
Filed under: Anser cygnoides (Swan goose)
Lineage: Eukaryota; Metazoa; Chordata; Aves; Anseriformes; Anatidae
Description: lncRNA (ENSACDG00005008533.1)
Source: RNAcentral
CAGACAAAUAUUGACAACUAGCUGUGCAAACUGAGCGUUUCCUCUGUGAACUUGACCAUGAUCUGACCAUGCUCUUCAGGUGCCAAAAGCUUCUUCAAGACUCAAGGUCCUGAAUAACUAGAACUCAAGA